Molecule: ribosomal RNA, 847 nt
Filed under: Spathularia sp. Q. Zhao 8228
Lineage: Eukaryota; Fungi; Ascomycota; Leotiomycetes; Rhytismatales; Cudoniaceae
Description: eukaryotic LSU rRNA
Rfam family: Eukaryotic large subunit ribosomal RNA
Source: RNAcentral
UUGCCUCAGUAACGGCGAGUGAAGCGGCAACAGCUCAAAUUUGAAAGCUGGCUCUUUUAGGGCCCGCAUUGUAAUUUGUAGAGGAUGCUUCAGGUGCGGCGCUGGUCUAAGUUCUUUGGAACAAGACGUCAUAGAGGGUGAGAAUCCCGUAUGUGACUAGCUGCCUGUGCCUGUGUGAAGCUCCUUCGACGAGUCGAGUUGUUUGGGAAUGCAGCUCAAAAUGGGUGGUGUACUUCAUCUAAAGCUAAAUAUUGGCCAGAGACCGAUAGCGCACAAGUAGAGUGAUCGAAAGAUGAAAAGCACUUUGGAAAGAGAGUUAAACAGUACGUGAAAUUGUUGAAAGGGAAGCGCUUGCAAUCAGACUUGCGCGGCGUCGAUCAACCUGGGUUCUCCCUGGUGCACUCGGCGCUGCUCAGGCCAGCAUCAGUUUCAGCGGUUGGAUAAAGGCCUAGGGAACGUGGGUUACUUCGGUGACUGUUAUAGCCCUAGGUGCAAUGCAGCCUGCUGGGACUGAGGACCGCGCUUCGGCUAGGAUGCUGGCGUAAUGGUUGUAAGCGACCCGUCUUGAAACACGGACCAAGGAGUGUAAUAUUUAUGCGAGUUUUUGGGUGUUAAACCCAUAAGCGUAAUGAAAGUGAACGGAGGUGAGAACCCUUCAGGGUGCAUCAUCGACCGAUCCUGAAGUCUUCGGAUGGAUUUGAGUAAGAGCAUAACUAUUGCGACCCGAAAGAUGAUGAUCUAUACUUGAAUAGGGUGAAGCCAGAGGAAACUCUGGUGGAGGCUCGCAGCGGUUCUGACGUGCAAAUCGAUCGUCAAAUUUGAGUAUAGGGGCGAAAGACUAAUCGAA